Long non-coding RNA from Choloepus didactylus (southern two-toed sloth), 2876 nucleotides. RefSeq lists it as uncharacterized. The transcript has 4 exons. The record is from RefSeq and is a predicted model, not a curated record. Lineage: Eukaryota; Metazoa; Chordata; Mammalia; Pilosa; Megalonychidae.
GGUAUUAGUUUGUUUGCUUAGAGCGGGAAGAAAAGAAAUUUAAAUAUAUAUAAAUCACCAACAAACCUUAUGUUAAGUUUUUUUGACUGGAAAGAGAAGAAAUCAAAGCUCAAUUGGAGAAAGUUUUAUUGUAGCGUUGUGCAGGCAGGCUGAAGCCUAAUAGUGGCAACAGCCCCCAACAAAGGUGGGAGUACAGUUUUACAGCAUUUUGUGAGGGGGCUUGGGGGAAUAACUGUUGGUGGGUACAGAGAGAAGUAAGGAGUUGAGUCAGGGAAUUGGUUUCACAGGGUAGGUAGGAUAAGGAGUUGACUUCAGGGAGAUUAUUACAUUAUGGAAAAUUUUUGUUCUUGCUCAUACUGUUAUGUUAGCUAAGAGUGGGUUUUAUGUAAACAGUUAUGUGUGUUGUGGGAGAGCUUCUAAGGGUGUGUUUUGAUGUUUUGGGGGUAGGGAGUUUUGCCUAACACCUUAGUCUUGCUAGAAGUUUGCAAGGAAGGAAUUGCUCAUAUUGUUUCUCAAGGGGACUCUCCUGCCCUUUAUGUUUAAUUACACCCUUCCUCCAGGGAGUUUCAGGUUUUUGUCCAUAAAACUCCAGUGUGUCUGAUCAGGGUCUAGGAAUUUCCUGAUAGACAGAAUUCAGUCAAAAGUAUUUACUGAAUGAAUAAAGGAAAAAUAUGUUCAAUAUUUUAUGAGGUUUACAGGUUUACUUGAUAAAUCCAAUCAAAGUAACAGGGUGUGUCCCAUAGAAUGAAGCCUUGAAUAGAUUUAACAUCUGUGUAAUUAGGGUGUGUCCCCUCAAUGUUUACCCCUAUAUAAACGGAAGACACAACAGAGGUGGCAUUUCACCAAAGAAGAAGAAGCUGAAAAAUACAGAACUUCACAAAAAGAGCAAAUCGCUGUUUUCCUGAGGAACCCACUUCAGAAUCUAGUUGACCUCACUGGCUCCUACAGUUUGGUUUCUGGAAUCAGUGACCUUCAGUGAUGUAGCUAUAGACUUUUCCAGGGAAGAGUGGGCCUUGCUGGACACAACCCAGAGAAAGCUGUUCAGAGAUGUUAUGCUGGAGAAUAUCAAUCAUCUGGUGACUGCGGAUAGGGAAAAUGGUCAUAAAAAGGAAGAAAUGAUAACCAUGCAACAUAUCUGCAAGAAGGAGACAUCUACCAUCCAGUCAAAGCAGCAGAUUUCUUACACUGGAGAGGAUCUCUUUGAAAAUAAUGAUUUGGGAGAUUUCAUUCACUCUAUAUUAACUUACAAGGGAAAGAAGCCCUAUGGGGACAAACAAUUUCAAAAAAAAUUCAAUUACCAUUCAUUCAUUAGCCAACAUAAGCAAAUUCAUACUGGACAUAAGUUGUAUGACUGUCAUCUAUGUGGAAGUCUUCAGAGGUAAUUUUUCCCUUAGAGAACAUGAGAAAACACACACUGGAGAGAAACCAUAUGGCUGCAAUCUAUGAGGGAAAGACUUCACUGACAGUACUACCUACAGACAACAUGAGAGAACUCACACUGGGGAGAAAACAUGUCUCUGUUAUGUAUGUGGGAAAUCUUUCAGUCAACUUGCUCAACUUAGACAACAUGAGAGAACUCACACUGGGGUGAAACCAUAUGUCUGCCAUCUAUAUGCAGUACACUUCACUAAUAGUUCUACCCUCAGACAACAUGAAAGAACUCACACUGGAGAGAAACCAUAUGUGUGCUGUGUAUGUGGGAAAUCCUUCAGUCAACAUAAUCACCUUAGGCUACAUGAGAGAACUCACACUGGGGAGAAAACAUAUGUCUGCCAUCUAUGUGGAAAAGACUUCACUGAUAUUUCUACCCUCAAAAGACAUGAGAGAAAUCAUGCUGGAGAGAAAUCAUAUGUCUGCCUUCUAUUUGGGAAAUCCUUCACUCAUUGUAGUAACCUUAGGCAGCAUGAGAGUACUCAUACUGGUGAGAAGCCAUGUGUCUGCAAUAUUUCUGGAAAAUCCUUCAGUCAACAUAUUCACCUUAUGCAACAUGAGAGAACUCACACUUGGGAGAAACCAAGUGUCUGCCACCUAUGUGAGAAAAGUUUUAGAUAUAAUUCUUCCAUUAGGAAACAACAGAUAACUCAUUAAAAAUGUAUUUGGAAGAGUCUUUAGCUACAGGUAUGAUCUUUUAAACAAUGCGUGUACUUCUCUGUCAAAGUAAUCAAUGUGUAAAUGCCUUUAUUUACAAUCUAUCCUUAAAUAACAUGAUUGAACUAUCCUGGGAGGAACUCUAUGUCUGUAGUUACCUAUAAUAGAUUUCAGCUGAGCUCCAGCCUUCAUGUAUACAAGCACAGCUCAGGGUAAGAAUAACUUCUAAACCAGGAAACUAGACAGAAAGGCCUUUACCAGGAGGAGGAAACACUAGUAGGACAAAAGAUAAUUUUUUAUGGAGUAUGCAAUGAAAAAAAUAUGAAAAAUCCUUUACUUAGAGAGGAACAUGUUAUUGGUCUUGAUCUUCCUCUGUUUUAGUUCAUCUGAGUAUAUAUUUCUUUUGACCUCAAACACUGAAUACCAUGAAUACUCAACCUUCUUUAAAAUUGAAUCAUAUAGUAUAUAUUCUUUUGUAGCUGACUUUUUUGAUCACCAUCUGUAAAUCAGGCUAUUCAGUGUGUGUUUAUGGAACAUUGUUAGGAGUGUUCCAUCAGAUUUAUUGUUCUUAUUUUAGAUAUUCAUUCUCCUAAUAGUUGACUUUUGUUUGUUAACAUGUUUUAGCUACUAUGAAAAAGAUAAUUCCUUUAAAAUUGUUAUGCUUGAGUUUGGUGGAACUAGAUACUCAUUAUUCUCAAGCAUGCAAAAGAUAAAUUGCUGGAUCAAAAAUAGGUGCAUGUGACCAGAAGACUGAGGAUGGAAGAAUAGGGAGCCCCAAGAUUCAAUCU